This 395-nucleotide ribosomal RNA is filed under the name uncultured bacterium. Its description in RNAcentral is "bacterial SSU rRNA". It matches the Rfam family "Bacterial small subunit ribosomal RNA", at positions 28 to 420 of the family's 1533-position model. The record is from RNAcentral.
GACGAACGCUGGCGGCGUGCUUAACACAUGCAAGUCGAACGAUGAAAGCGGGAGCUUGCUCCUGCUGGAUUAGUGGCGAACGGGUGAGUAACACGUGAGCAAUCUGCCCUUGACUCUGGGAUAACGCCGAGAAAUUGGUGCUAAUACCGGAUAUGACCCCUGGCGGCAUCGCUGGGGGUGGAAAGUUUUUCGGUCAAGGAUGAGCUCGCGGCCUAUCAGCUAGUUGGUGAGGUAAUGGCUCACCAAGGCGACGACGGGUAGCCGGCCUGAGAGGGUGACCGGCCACACUGGGACUGAGACACGGCCCAGACUCCUACGGGAGGCAGCAGUGGGGAAUAUUGCACAAUGGGCGCAAGCCUGAUGCAGCAACGCCGCGUGGGGGAUGACGGCCUCGG